UGGAUAUAGAACCCCAAUAUAUAUGCUCAACCGUUUUAUAAGACUACAGGCGAUGGUUGAGAUUAUCACUAAUGAGACAGCUCAAGCACUUAAUCUUCUAGCUAAGCAAAAUACUCGGAUGAGAUCAGCCAUCUAUCAAAAUAGAUUAGCUCUGUACUACCUAUUAGCAGUAGAGAGAGGUGCACGCGGAAAGUUUAAUCUCAGCAACUGUUGUUUGCACAUAAAUGAUGAAGGGCGUUCAGUGGCUGAACUUACAAGCCACAUGGUUAAACUGACGCAUGUACCUACUCAGGUCUGGAAUGGGUAUAAUCCUAGUAGUUGGUUUGGAAGUUGGUAUGAGCAGCUUGGAGUGAUUAAGGCGUUAGUAGGACGAGUAGUAUUUAUUAUAUUCUUAUGUCUCUUUCUGCCCUGCCUAAUUCCAUUAAUGGUCAGAUCUAUACAUAGCAUCAUAGAGAGUACUAUAGAAAGAAAGACAGCUGCACAUGUAAUGGCUGUCUAUAGAUAUGAAUCCCUAGCCCAAAGAGAACAUAUUCAGGAUGAGGAAUGCUGAAGGAGUUUGUGAUGAUGCUAAGAUGCUUACAAGGUCUGCUCUGGUCCAAUGGCUACUUGAGAGGUGUUGGUAAACUAUGAUUGGUGAUGCAUCUGGAAUAAUUUUGUUUCAGAGGCAUCAAAGGGAGGAAUGUGAUGGAAUUUCGGUGAAAUGUAAAUUUAGUAGGCUGAGAAUUCCAUGUGGCAUAUGUGUAUGUUGUAUCAGUUAGUUAGUUACACAUAAGAUACUGUCAUCAAUGUACUGAGCAUGUGUGGGAAUGCAGGAACUGAAAUUACACUCCUUUCUCCUUUGUUUUGGAUGAGCCAUGUGGUCUGCCCAUAUAAGGAAAUCCAAAUCCCGUCCACUGAUUGGUUAAGGGUAUGUGCGGGUGGAGCUAUUAAUGGGAGGAGUUAUAGUUCUAUAAAAAGCAUGUACUCCAUGUGUUUGUCCCUCAGACCUGUUUUGGAACGUUAGUUCAUCUGAGGCCCGAUCGGUAUGUUAAU
Non-coding RNA from Pelobates cultripes (western spadefoot toad), 1032 nucleotides. NCBI's taxonomy places the organism in Eukaryota, Metazoa, Chordata, Amphibia, Anura, Pelobatidae. The record is from the annotation of a GenBank genome assembly.